RNAcentral lists this ribosomal RNA (537 nucleotides) under uncultured bacterium. RNAcentral describes it as "bacterial SSU rRNA". It matches the Rfam family "Bacterial small subunit ribosomal RNA", at positions 782 to 1320 of the family's 1533-position model. The record is from RNAcentral.
AUACCCGGUAGUCCACGCCCUAAACGAUGCGAACUGGAUGUUGGGCACAUUACGGUGCUCAGUGUCGAAGCUAACGCGUUAAGUUCGCCGCCUGGGGAGUACGGUCGCAAGACUGAAACUCAAAGGAAUUGACGGGGGCCCGCACAAGCGGUGGAGUAUGUGGUUUAAUUCGAUGCAACGCGAAGAACCUUACCUGGCCUUGACAUCUGUCGAAUCCUGCAGAGAUGCGGGAGUGCCGCAAGGAACGACAAGACAGGUGCUGCAUGGCUGUCGUCAGCUCGUGUCGUGAGAUGUUGGGUUAAGUCCCGCAACGAGCGCAACCCUUGUCCCUAGUUGCCAACACUUCGGGUGGGAACUCUAGGGAGACUGCCGGUGACAAACCGGAGGAAGGUGGGGAUGACGUCAAGUCCUCAUGGCCCUUACGGCCAGGGCUACACACGUACUACAAUGGUCGGUACAAAGGGUUGCCAAGCCGCGAGGCGGAGCCAAUCCCAGAAAACCGAUCCCAGUCCGGAUUGGGGUCUGCAACUGACCCCA